Molecule: long non-coding RNA, 439 nt
Organism: Humulus lupulus (European hop)
Lineage: Eukaryota; Viridiplantae; Streptophyta; Magnoliopsida; Rosales; Cannabaceae
Exons: 2
Source: RefSeq, a predicted model, not a curated record
CACGGGUUCUGAAUUUCUGGAGAGUGUUUUUGCUGGUGUUGAAGUUGGUAUAGUGUUUCUGUACUUGGCGUUUUUUGUUCAUACUAGUUCGUAACUGUCCUUUAUGCCUUAACAAGCUUAAAUGAUCAUUUAUUCUGCUGGACUAAUCCUGAAUAUUGAUGCACAGGCUCGAUGCUUAUUUGUUUCGUCGAUUUCAGUUAUUCAGGAUUCACUCCACGAACAUAAACAACGGGUGGACUUGCCAAAAAGUACUUUUCCUUCGGAUAAAGAGAGAAGACAUUUCUACCUUAGGUUAAAGAGAGAGAGAGAAGACAUUUCUGUAGAGCAUCAGGUUUAAUCCUUAAUGGGCUUAUAUGCUUAUAGAGAUUGAAUGAUCUUAUUUGUUUGUUAUUCUGUUUAAAUCAAACUUGAACUAAAUUUAUUGUUUGUAUUGGUAUUA